This 292-nucleotide ribosomal RNA is filed under the name uncultured bacterium. RNAcentral's name for it is "partial 16S ribosomal RNA". The record is from RNAcentral.
GGACUACCGGGGUAUCUAAUCCUGUUUGCUCCCCACGCUUUCGCACCUCAGCGUCAGUACCGAGCCAGUGAGCCGCCUUCGCCACUGGUGUUCCUCCGAAUAUCUACGAAUUUCACCUCUACACUCGGAAUUCCACUCACCUCUCUCGGACUCUAGACACCCAGUAUCAGAGGCAGUUCCGGGGUUGAGCCCCGGGAUUUCACCCCUGACUUAAAUGUCCGCCUACGUGCGCUUUACGCCCAGUAAUUCCGAACAACGCUAGCCCCCUUCGUAUUACCGCGGCUGCUGGCAC